Morone saxatilis (striped sea-bass) is the source of this 301-nucleotide long non-coding RNA. RefSeq lists it as uncharacterized. NCBI's taxonomy places the organism in Eukaryota, Metazoa, Chordata, Actinopteri, Moronidae. The record is from RefSeq and is a predicted model, not a curated record. The transcript has 4 exons.
GUGCAGGUCUAAGUCCUGGUGAAGAUGGAAGGUUGAAACAAAGGAAACGACAUCACCUGCAGGUGAUUCCAAUGGCUGAGCCUAAAGGGACUAGAGGAGGAUGUCUCAAGGCAUCAAUCUAAUCUUGGCUCUGGAAUCGUAACUUCGUGGUCUGAAGGUCCAGUUGGAGAGCAGCCUGAAUAAGUGAGGGUGGUGGACGUCCAGUCAUCUGUAUUCCUGGCUGCACCAAUGUUACAUUUGUUGAACUCGCAUGUAUAUGUAAAGUUGACUGUUACCAAAUAAAAUUUAAACACAAACUCAA